This is a non-coding RNA of Pelobates cultripes (western spadefoot toad), 134 nucleotides long. The record is from the annotation of a GenBank genome assembly. Lineage: Eukaryota; Metazoa; Chordata; Amphibia; Anura; Pelobatidae.
ACAAAAGUCCUUGAGUGCUGGCUUUCUGCGAACUAUAUAUAUAUAUAUAUAUAUAUAUAUAUAUAUAUAUAUAUAUAUAUAUAUAUAUAUAUAUAUAUAUAGUUCGCAGAAAGCCAGCACUCAAAGACUAUAAA